GUGUUGAGGAUUGGGUCCCACGCAACGGAGGCUCACGAACCUGGUCAGGUCCGGAAGGAAGCAGCCAUAAGUGAGCUCAACCGUGUGCCGUGGGGGUGCUCAAUCUGAGCCUGAA
RNAcentral lists this signal recognition particle RNA (115 nucleotides) under Kosmotoga olearia TBF 19.5.1. RNAcentral's name for it is "SRP RNA; RNA component of signal recognitionparti cle". The stretch from base 9 to 108 matches the Rfam family "Bacterial small signal recognition particle RNA". Rfam says of the family: The signal recognition particle (SRP) is a universally conserved ribonucleoprotein involved in the co-translational targeting of proteins to membranes. Archaeal SRP consists of a 7S RNA and homologues of the eukaryotic SRP19 and SRP54 proteins. In most bacteria, the SRP consists of a 4.5S RNA and the Ffh protein (a homologue of the eukaryotic SRP54 protein). The record is from RNAcentral. Lineage: Bacteria; Thermotogati; Thermotogota; Thermotogae; Kosmotogales; Kosmotogaceae.